CAAAGGAAGCGAUUCCGGCGGGGGAUGGGCAUGCGGCGCAUUAGCUAGUCGGCGGGGUAACGGCCCACCGAGGCGACGAUGCGUAGGGGUUCUGAGAGGAAGGUCCCCCACACUGGUACUGAGACACGGACCAGACUCCUACGGGAGGCAGCAGUGAGGAAUAUUGGUCAAUGGGCGGGAGCCUGAACCAGCCAAGUCGCGUGUCGGUAGACGGUCCUAUGGAUUGUAAACCUCUUUUGCCGGGGAGCAACGGGGUCCUUGCGAGGGCCUAAUGAGAGUACCCGGAGAAAAAGCAUCGGCUAACUCCGUGCCAGCAGCCGCGGUAAUACGGAGGAUGCGAGCGUUAUCCGGAUUUAUUGGGUUUAAAGGGUGCGUAGGCGGGCUGUUAAGUCAGCGGUCAAAUGUCGGGGCUCAACCCCGGCCUGCCGUUGAAACUGGCGGCCUCGAGUGGGCGAGAAGUAUGCGGAAUGCGUGGUGUAGCGGUGAAAUGCAUAGAUAUCACGCAGAACUCCGAUUGCGAAGGCAGCAUACCGGCGCCCUACUGACGCUGAGGCACGAAAGCGUGGGUAUCGAACAGGAUUAGAUACCCUGGUAGUCCACGCAGUAAACGAUGAAUGCUAGCUGUCCGGUUCUACGGGACUGG
Molecule: ribosomal RNA, 643 nt
Filed under: uncultured bacterium
Lineage: Bacteria
Description: bacterial SSU rRNA
Rfam family: Bacterial small subunit ribosomal RNA
Source: RNAcentral